RNAcentral lists this long non-coding RNA (2783 nucleotides) under Canis lupus familiaris (dog). RNAcentral's name for it is "lncRNA (ENSCAFG00000051330.1)". The record is from RNAcentral. Lineage: Eukaryota; Metazoa; Chordata; Mammalia; Carnivora; Canidae.
AUGAACUCUUGGCUCCAUACCCAAACGUUGGCUCUAACCGUUUGGCAUUUGGGCACAACACCAUGUUUAAUGCUUUUUACGCUUCCCUCCAGACAUUUGGGAUCUUUGCACACCUUAGGUCCUUCAGUUUUGCUCUUCCCUUUGACUUCUGCUUUCCUUAUUGCUUCAAGCUGGGACUUAAUGCUGGUGACGAUGGCCCUAAGAAAUCUACCCAUUUUUAUCUCCUCAUGUUCUGGAAGUCAUAGAGGCCAAGAAAUCUUGUGGAGCUGCCUGCAUGGUGAUGGUUUCUGUGGUCAUAGAGGCUGCUUGGAAGUGAUGUGGAUUGUUUUCACUUCUAUGAUCUCAGCUCAUUUUGCACUCCCUGGAGUCAGGAGGCAAGGCCCAGGCCAGCUGCUGCCUUACUCGGCCACUCAGGCUACCAGAUGUCAGGGGUCCCUUCCUGGCUUCAUACUCAGCAGCCUCUCCGUUUUCUCGUCCUUCUCUCCUUGGGCACUGCCUCCCUUCCCUCCAAUCCCUGCUCAUGGCACCACACAGUCCAACUCCAUAGUGGUGGAACCAGGAGAAGAGAAACAAGGAAAUCAAUUAACUGUAUCACCCCAAGAUGCUGGAGGAGACUCUAACUGAGCAGAAUGAAGACAGUUCCUCUGUAGCCAGCACCACAGCAAGAGCCGGGCUCUCCAAACACUCUGCAUGCAAAUAUUUUCAAAUUGCCCUGUUAAAGAAAAGAGGACACCAGGCAGCCAUUCAUCGCCCAGAUGUAUUAGAUCAGAGCAAUGAGAGUGGGAAAGGUCAGAUACUUCUUCUGUAGAGGAGAGAAGAUCCCUAUUCCUUAUAAAGGGCAGAAUGAAGAUUAUUCGGACAGGGAGACAGGUAGCAGCAGGCUGCUUCUGGAAAAUUAAUGGAGCACUGCAAGGUGCAUGUGGACAAAAUCCUGGCACUUGUGAGAGUGGGAUGGAAAAAGGAAGAAAGGCUUCAGAACGGCUGUUUUGUAAAAUGCAGGCUAGAGGUGCCCCCUGCAAGUACAUGGUUGUUUACUGGUCCUCGUGCCCCGUAUGUACAUUGUUGAGAAACAGCAAUCAAGAAAGUCCGACAAAAACAACAUUUUGAUGCCUGCCCCUCACUCGGCGUUGACAAUUUCAAGAUGGGCCCUGACGCCAGAAUGCCUGGACUUGUAAUUCUGGCUCCACUGCUCACUUGAGGAUGAUGUGACCUUGGGCAAGUCACUGGCACUUAUGUGUCUCCAUUUUCUUAUUUACAAAACGAGAGUAUUAUCAGCACGUACUUCAUGUGCUGCUUUUACUGUUAAAUUAGUUAAUAUGUGUUAAAUGCUUAGAAUGCUCCCCGGAACAAACCAGGUGCCAUCAUUUGUAGAGAAUGAUGAUGGUGAUGGUGUUGAUGAGGAGGAAGAUGAGGAGAAGCAGGAGGAGAAAGAGCAGCAGGUGGAGGAGGACUCACAGGCAUUAUCUUCCCUUCAAUCAUCUUUUCUUACCUACUUCUACUUCUGAAACCAUCUUUUCAGCCUUUAACCCCAAAUCUGAGAGUCACUGUUGACUUCCUAUUUUCUCUAAAGAUUUCCAGAGCUCCAUCCAUUAGUCGACACGUUCUGUUGAGUUGACCUUCUUAUGUUUAUCAUAUCUCUCACCUCACCUCAUCAUUGAGGCCUUCACCCUGAGUUUGCUUCUAACCCGAGAAAUUGCCAAUGACUUCUUGGUCUUACCGUCCUCCCCAGAUCCCUCCCCUCCAUUCUGUCUCUACAAUGUCAUUGACCCAAGUAAUGUCAAAACCUGUUCAAAAACCUUUUUGUGGCUGCCCGCUGCCUGGCAACAGUCUUUGAUCUAGAAUUUGGGACCUUGGGAAAUUCUGACCUGCAUUUCUAGACUUCUUAUCAUUUAGUUUAUAGAUAUGCACUAAAAGCUCCACUCAAGCUAGAUCCUAACGGUUACCUGAAACAUUCUCAGUUUCAGAUGAUGCUACUUUUAGCUCCAUGGUCCUGGGCAAUUAACCAGAGUUUCAGUUUCCUCUUUUGUAAAAUGGAGACAAUAAUAGACUGAAAGUGUGGUUGUGAAGAUUAGAGGCGAACACACACGUAAAGGAGGUAGCACAGUGCCUACCGUGGAGUGAGGCCUCCAUAGAUGCCAGACUGUUGGUGAUGAUGAGUGCUGUUGUUCGAGCGGUCCUUUUACACUUACCUUGCCUCUGUUUCCUUUUGACGAAACACUAGCUAUCCUCCAAAUUUUGCCUUUUCUCAAACCUGCCCAUUUUAUAGUGUUUUUUUCAUUCCAUCCAACCAGAUACCUUCUUUCCCUCCUCCAAACUCUCAUGCGCUCCCCUUUCUUUUGAACAAAGCUCUUUUCCUGCAGCCAUAAACGCUAUCUCAAGAGCCACAGAGCAAAUCCCCAAAUAGACAAUUAACCUCUUGAAGGUAAGGACCGACACUUUACUGCUUUACUUAUCUUUGUGUCCCCUGCAGGAUCCCCCAUGAUCAGAGGCAAGAUCCUCAAAAUGCCCCUUUAAUGGACAACUUAAGUGAAUCGGUAAAUUAAUUAGUAAGCUUAAUUGAUAAACCCAGUGUGCUGGAUUACUUGUCAUAACUCCCAGAAAUCCUGCCUUUUGAUUUGAUAGUCAUAGGUGUUAGCUAUUUCCUAAAGCCCCGAGCUUCUGUAGGGGGGGAAAGCCCAUCCUCAGGACAAUUUGUAAAAUUGUGGUAUCCAAAACUCUUUGGAAAAAGCUUCACACUUUAUAUUUCCCUGCCGAGAGAUAAAGAUCAAAGUAAUCAAGAGGAG